RNAcentral lists this long non-coding RNA (613 nucleotides) under Cricetulus griseus (Chinese hamster). Its description in RNAcentral is "lncRNA (ENSCGRG00015037842.1)". Lineage: Eukaryota; Metazoa; Chordata; Mammalia; Rodentia; Cricetidae. The record is from RNAcentral.
UAUCAAGAGAGCCAGGAUGCUAUGCGGCUCCGGGAGGUGGGUGGGGCCAGCAUUAGUACUUCCGGUUUGGCUUCGGCCGCCCCUCAACUCCUCUCCUUCCCCCCCCUCCGCCUCCUCGUCUCCCUCCCGCUCCUGGGAAAGCGGAUCCGUCGCUUUAAGGGUGGCUGAGAGAAGCGGCGUCUCGGGGAGGGGACCGCGCCCGCCCCCUUGGAACCACGGAGCGUGGCCGAUACAGGGUUUUAUGCUGGCCUCUAACUUGAUAGAGGAGGAAGACCUUGAACUUAUGAUCCUGCCUAUACCUCCCAAGUGCUGGGCCUACAGAUUCCUGAAAUCUGUUGCUUAAAGCUGCAAGACUACCAGUCGUCAAAAGCAUCAGAGUUCUUGAGAAGGAUAAGAUUUUACCUGAAUCAGUGAUUAAAGAAUAACAGAGACUUGCCAGAAGGCUGCAUGGACAGCCAUCCCCAAGGUUCUCCAUCCAUAGUAGCGGGCUGCAGAACAACUGCCUUCUUGCUGAUAGCAUGUGACCUGUGGAUUACAGACUAUAGGAAGACUCUCGCCUGCCAUUGGCUCAAGCAACGCGGGGAAAGUCGAUUCCACUGUCCUCUUGUCCAAG